ACACAUCUAACCACUCUUCAGCUGAUAUCCACUUGCUGACAAAUGAAUCUCUCUGGCCCCUGGACUGUGCCCUGAAACACAGCUUAAAACAGCAGAAUGAACAGUAAUCCCAGAGAUCCUGAGAUGAGAAAAGGGUGUUUGACUUAUUCAAAGAAGACCAAGGAAGCCCAAAGACCAGAGAAGAGUGCAGGAAAGGGGCGGCGGUCUGAGAUGCAGUCAGAGCAGUGGCAAGCCCCCAGAGUCUGUGGCAAAGACUUCAGGUUUCAUCCUGAAGAGGAAGACAGGUCUUUGGAGAGUUUUGAUCAAGGAAGUGAGAUGAAAUAUCUUAGGCUUACAAAGAACUACUCUGACAUCUAAAUGGAAAAUGGACUGAUGAAGCAAAAGAAGCCACAAGGAAGCCAGUUCAGAGGCUAUUGAAAUGCUCCAGAUACUCAGAGAGUGAGAGCCUUCAGAUUUGGGUGAGUGAUGCCAUUAGAACCAAGAUUUCUUCCAUUCUUCUGCUCUAUCAUUCUCAGCACAACAUGCUUUUCUCAUUAAGGCCGCUGUGGUUCGUCUUCUGCCUGGGAACUGGAUAAAAACAUCAGUGAAUACCCCAAAGAUUUUCAAAAAUGCUUGUUGAUAAAAUGAAGUCAGAAUGUGAGAUGAGCCCUUCCACCUGAGUGAUGUUGGUCUUGGCUGUGUGAUUUGCUUUGGCUGAUGAUAAGUUGAUGGAAGUGAUAGUAAGACAAUGCUGAGCCUCAUCCUCGGAAGUAUCUCUGCCUUCACCUGGCUUUGUGCACCACUGCCCUGGCUUUGAGAAGAACAUGAGCCCAGUAAAUUGUUAGUCCAGGAAGAAUGAGAGGCUGUAGAAGAUGGCAAGUGCUGUGGACUUCAAAGAAAAGAUUUCUGAAGUGUCAUGUUAUGACAAUUGUGAUGCUUCAAACUAUGUUGACUAUUCAUUUACAGCAUAAAGAAGAGUGAGCCACUUUAUCACUGCAGUAAUUAUAUUUUAAAAAUAAAGAAAAUAAAACAAAUGGAGUUUCCCACCCAAUCCAUGGAGACACAGACACGAAGUCUUACUAUAGAUGUGUGGCCAAUCCUUACAUUGCUUUUAUUACAAGCCUGGAAAUGACAAUAAAAUACAUGAACUUGAGAGUAUAUA
This 1141-nucleotide long non-coding RNA is filed under the name Homo sapiens (human). RNAcentral's name for it is "HSALNT0393729". Lineage: Eukaryota; Metazoa; Chordata; Mammalia; Primates; Hominidae. The record is from RNAcentral.